GAAUUAUUAUUAUUAUUAUUAUAUAGCUAUUACUAUUUAUUAGGAGUCUAGUGACAUUAUGCGUUCUCUAGUUACCGGAUUGGUAAUGUUGGUCGAUUUAUUAAAAUCACACGACACGAGGGUAUUAGCAGCCGCGUGCGCCGUCAUCGGAAUUUUGGCCAAGGAACCCGAAAACUUGGCAAUUCUCACCGAUUACGAUAUCGUACAGCGGUUAUCUAGUUUGGUGCACACGAGCAAUUCGGACCUCCAAGCCCAUUUAUCUCGUGCCAUCGGUUCUUGCUGUUUAUUAGAACGCAACUGUCACACGUUCGGUCGACUUGAUGUAGUACUGCCCAUUUCCAAAUACAUACAUUCCAAUUCUGAUCUGGUCAAACAGAACGUUACGUUUGCUCUGCACGGUCUGUCCGGAGAUGCGACAAAUUGUGUGGCCAUGGAAUCUUGUGGUGUCGUUCCCGUACGAUGAGUGAUGACAAUAAAAUAUAAAUAAUUAUAUUAUAUUUGGCUCGUAUCAAAGGCUUCAAAUACUUGAUUUCUUAUGGAGACUAUUGCGUCACGAGAUCCCGACGUACAGGAGGCUUCAGCUGGAUGUUUGGCAAAUAUUCGUAAAAUCGCUUUAAACGCUCGAAGAUUAAAAUGAUGACCAUUAAAAUAAUAGAUUACAGAUUACAAGACGAUUGUAUUAUAUAUGACAACAAAAGGUGAAAUCAUUAUAAUAUAUAAAACAUCAUAUUUUUAUUAACAAUAUAGUUAACUUUGUUUCUUUAUGUAUUCUGUUAACUUUUUUGUUUCAAAUAUUUAUUGCAUCUUUUGCGAUGGUUGUGUUUAACUAUAUUAUGACUUUAUGAUGUUAUUUUUAUCUUUAUUAAUAUGCAGAUACCUACCUAAUAU
Acyrthosiphon pisum (pea aphid) is the source of this 888-nucleotide RNA transcript. It is a transcript of the gene named armadillo repeat-containing protein gudu-like, with no coding region annotated. Lineage: Eukaryota; Metazoa; Arthropoda; Insecta; Hemiptera; Aphididae. The transcript is spliced from 3 exons. The record is from RefSeq and is a predicted model, not a curated record.